This 107-nucleotide small nuclear RNA is filed under the name Peromyscus maniculatus bairdii (prairie deer mouse). The record is from RNAcentral. Lineage: Eukaryota; Metazoa; Chordata; Mammalia; Rodentia; Cricetidae.
GUGUUCACUUCAGCAGCACAUAUACUAAAAUUUGAACAAUACAGAGAAGAUUAGCAUGGCCCCUGCUCAAGGAUGACAUGCAAAUUUAUGAAGCAGUCCACAUUUUU